This 21-nucleotide non-coding RNA is filed under the name Caenorhabditis elegans. Lineage: Eukaryota; Metazoa; Nematoda; Chromadorea; Rhabditida; Rhabditidae. The record is from RNAcentral.
UGUCAAUUUUCUAUUUCGUAG